GUGAGUAAUGUCUGGGAAGCUGCCUGAUGGAGGGGGAUAACUACUGGAAACGGCAGCUAAUACCGCAUAACGUCGCAAGACCAAAGAGGGGGACCUUCGGGCCUCUUGCCAUCGGAUGUGCCCAGAUGGGAUUAGCUAGUAGGUGGGGUAACGGCUCACCUAGGCGACGAUCCCUAGCUGGUCUGAGAGGAUGACCAGCCACACUGGAACUGAGACACGGUCCAGACUCCUACGGGAGGCAGCAGUGGGGAAUAUUGCACAAUGGGCGCAAGCCUGAUGCAGCCAUGCCGCGUGUAUGAAGAAGGCCUUCGGGUUGUAAAGUACUUUCAGCGGGGAGGAAGGGAGUAAAGUUAAUACCUUUGCUCAUUGACGUUACCCGCAGAAGAAGCACCGGCUAACUCCGUGCCAGCAGCCGCGGUAAUACGGAGGGUGCAAGCGUUAAUCGGAAUUACUGGGCGUAAAGCGCACGCAGGCGGUUUGUUAAGUCAGAUGUGAAAUCCCCGGGCUCAACCUGGGAACUGCAUCUGAUACUGGCAAGCUUGAGUCUCGUAGAGGGGGGUAGAAUUCCAGGUGUAGCGGUGAAAUGCGUAGAGAUCUGGAGGAUACCGGUGGCGAAGGCGGCCCCCUGGACGAAGACUG
This 639-nucleotide ribosomal RNA is filed under the name uncultured Pseudomonadota bacterium. Its description in RNAcentral is "bacterial SSU rRNA". It matches the Rfam family "Bacterial small subunit ribosomal RNA", at positions 106 to 742 of the family's 1533-position model. The record is from RNAcentral. Lineage: Bacteria; Pseudomonadati; Pseudomonadota.